This 106-nucleotide non-coding RNA is filed under the name Bacillus sp. (in: firmicutes). RNAcentral's name for it is "Bacillus sp. TPP sequence". It matches the Rfam family "TPP riboswitch aptamer (THI element)". Rfam says of the family: Vitamin B(1) in its active form thiamin pyrophosphate (TPP) is an essential coenzyme that is synthesised by coupling of pyrimidine and thiazole moieties in bacteria. The previously detected thiamin-regulatory element, thi box was extended, resulting in a new, highly conserved RNA secondary structure, the THI element, which is widely distributed in eubacteria and also occurs in some archaea. Analysis of operon structures identified a large number of new candidate thiamin-regulated genes, mostly transporters, in various prokaryotic organisms. The record is from RNAcentral. Lineage: Bacteria; Bacillati; Bacillota; Bacilli; Caryophanales; Bacillaceae. RNAcentral also lists the same sequence under 1 other name.
GUUUCGCACUAGGGGAGCUGUAAGGCUGAGAAGCGGGUGAAAUUCCUGCUGACCCUCAUGACCAGAACUAGGUAAUGCUAGCGUGGGGAAGUGCAAGUGACUUCAU